GCACCGAGCAGGGCGGGUGGGAGCGGCCCCCCCUUCCCUCAUGCGGGGCGGGCAGCGCCGCGUCCCCCCGCCGCUCCGGGCCAGGCCGCCGAGCGCCUCCUCCCCCCCACCCCCGGCUCAGCUCCGGGCGGCGGCCGCCAGGCGGCUCAGGGGAGCUGCACACGGAGGAGGCGGUGGCAGGGGCUGCGAGCCGCCCAGGCAGAGACCCAUGUCGGGCUGCUCCUUCCCAGGAUGCACCUCCCCCUCCGCAGCUCACUGGGACUGAUGGGCUUCGGCUCCCGCGGCCAGGGGGCAAGGGAGGCCGGGGGGGUGGAGAUUGCCUGGCGGGGCAAACACCACAGGGCAGCGCAGGAUGGGUUGAGGCAGGGCGUGGCUGUAAUCUGGCCUCGGAGAAAGGGGGCGGCUUUAAUCCUGGUUGAAAGGGGGUCGCAGCCUACCUGUAGGGCAACCUUGAGUUCUUGGCUGCCUGUGUUAUCAACAGCUCAAAGACUCCAAAACCUCCGGAAGAAGCCACGAAAAAGCAAAGAAGACCUGCUGCAAGCAGUUAUGGAUCACUCUGCCACAGAGAAUCAAAAAGUGCAGGAUUGGAGGGAAAUAGAAAGCAGGAUCCACCAGAAAAAUGCAGCGGACAGGAAGAAAAGCACAGAGUAGCUGAUAAGCAUCCUGGCGCACCAAGCGGACUCUAUCCAGGCCCUCGUAGCCAUGCAGGCAGAGCUCUACUGCGCCGCCAUCCCAAAGCUCUUUCCCUUGUGCCCCAAUGUCAGCUCAAAACCCCCUUCCCCCCAGCAUCCAGGUUCUUACCACCACCAGCUGCCUCCAACACCUGUAAGUUCACCAACCAGCCCUGAGAACUAUGACCCUUACCCUCUGCACUCAACCCCCAUCACCAUGCAGUAUAGGCAUCCUGAAGUGCAGCAGUCAUUGCACAGCACUCCAGACAGGACAUAUUCAAACCUGUGACUGUACAGUUCCCCAACCCACGCCGCUGCCCUUUUAGGUUCCCAAAAUGUUGUGUGUCUGUCAAUAAAGUUAUUUUCUUUUCAAUAAAUGAA
Gopherus flavomarginatus (Mexican gopher tortoise) is the source of this 1052-nucleotide long non-coding RNA. RefSeq lists it as uncharacterized. The transcript has 2 exons. Lineage: Eukaryota; Metazoa; Chordata; Testudines; Testudinidae. The record is from RefSeq and is a predicted model, not a curated record.